This 3450-nucleotide long non-coding RNA is filed under the name Gossypium barbadense (sea-island cotton). RNAcentral's name for it is "long non-coding RNA (GBAR_LNC011208)". The record is from RNAcentral. Lineage: Eukaryota; Viridiplantae; Streptophyta; Magnoliopsida; Malvales; Malvaceae.
UUUGGGCUUUUUUUUUUAAAAUUUUGUUAAUUUAUUAAUAAGAAUUAGUUUAUUAGUUGGGUGGUAAGGUGUUUAUUAAUUUACUCUUUGGUCUUAUUUAGGUCCCUUUGCAAGCAAAUUGGAAUUAUUUUUGCUAAUUGGUGAUAUCGCCUAGGUGGAGGAAGUUGGAUGGGAUUGAAAUUCUAGGGGAGUUUCUUUAGGGAUGAUAUCUGAUUCAGUGGGUAGGUUUUAUUUGAUUUUAGAUUUUUUUUAAAUUUCCUAAAAUUCUGCUAUCUGCUCCCAUUGUUUUCCCAAACUUCUUUCACGUUAUUUUCUUCUUCGUUCUCCUUCUUGUGUCGUUUUCAUUUUCUUUUCUUGUCUCUUGUUCUUGUGAUUUUAUUUUUGCGUUCUAUCAUCGCUGUUGUUCUGCAUUUUGUCAUGCCGUUAGUCUUUCGAACGAUUUUGGGUAAGUGUUCUUUACUGUGUUGUUAUAAAAGAUUUUGGGGUUUUGAUUUGGGAUUUUUCUUUGUGAUGGGUUUCUAUUAAUGGUGAAAUCUUUCGUUCUAGGAGAGGAACGUAUGGUGUUAGACGAACCUCCAGCGAAUUAAGUCUUCUAGUCAGUUUGGGCUGCUCGCUGCUGUUAUUCAUAUGGUAAGUAUGCGUAUAUGGAAUUUGGGAUUGUUUUCCCUUAAGAAAAAAGUGGAUUUAAUUGGAUUUAGUGUGAUUAAAUCGAAGUUGUAAUCGUUGUGUUUUGGUGUCGUUUGUUGGAUUCAAAGUGAUUGAUUGAGUGGUGAACUAGAAUUAGUACCAUGUGUGGGAAACUAAUCCGAAAUUUCACUCGAAACUCGAGAAAAUUGUGAAACAAUGGCAGUUUUAAAACUGCCCAAUGCCACAAGUACGUGUGUCAGGUAUAUGAUUAAAUAGCUUGUGUAAUAGGCCAUGUGAACACAUGGGCUAAGUUUUUAGGUCAUGUGGGCCAGCCGUAUGGGCCUUUUGCCCCAAUUUUGAGGCUUGAAUAGGGGCCGGUUAAGGGACUCAGAAAUUGGGUCCUUAGACAUUAUGUAGUCCCGAAAAAGCGUAAGUUUCAAAUAGGUAUGUGUAGGAAGCAUAUUAAGUAGGUUUCGGUAAGUAUAUUAAUAUCAUAUGAUAUGAUAUGCUUUAUAAGUAUUUACGUAAACCAUGCAAGUUACAUGAUUUGUGAGUACCUUAUGCUAUGUUAUGUUCCGUAUAAAAAGGUAUGUGUAUGCAUGCCAUACGAUCUAAGUUAUAUGUAUGUACAAUAUUCUGUCUAUGUUUUGGGGUGGGAUUGAUAUGAUGGAGGAAAUGCUACAUGGCAAUAUCUACUGCAAUUAUAGCGGCUAGAUUGCAAAUUUCUUUUUGGUAGCUCAGCUGCGUAUUUAUGAGUGGUGUACUGCCAUGUACUAAUGUGAUUGGACGGAUGAACUCUUGUAGUUUUAAUUGGUGUGGUUGAUUGAAUGGAGAUGGUGUGUAGAGGAUGGAAGUAGGAUGUGGUAUGAGAUGAUAUAUUAUAAGAUAUGUUCUAACAUGAAAUUUGAUAUGAUAUGUAUAAGAUAUGUUUUGAAAUGGAAUCUGAUAUGCUAUGAUACGUUCUGGUAUAUAUUUAUAUUGUUUUGUUUGUGUGGGACAUAUCACACACUGGGCGUAAAGUUCACGUGUUUGUUUGUUUCAUUUCAGGUGAUCUUCAGACUUAGCAUUGGACAGCGAUACAGGACCUCGGUUUCCACGCUUUUGGUUUAGUACGUUCCGGACUGAUAUUUUUUAUGGACUUUUACAGACUUUUGGAACGUUUUAAUUUUGUUUGGGAUUUCAAAUUUUAUUUUGGUGUUUGGUUCUGUAAAAAUUAUGGUUUUUAAUCAGUAUUUAAAACAAGACGACAAAAAAUAAACUAGGGAUAAAUAAGACCAAGUUGCUAAAAGGGUUUCGAAGCCAAAUUUUGUUGAAAUUCGCUAGAAUGUUUUGUUUCGUAAAGAAUUAAGUAAGUUGGAUCUGUUUUAGUAAAAGCUAUUAAAUAGGGGUUUUACCUCAAAAUACUCACGGGUUUUCGAAAAUCGAUACGUUUUCUAUAAGAUAUAUGAAAUUGGAUUUUCUUAAAGUUGGAAGAGGUUUUCACCAAAACUUAAGCAUUAGCGUUUUCAGUAAUGAUGUAACCUCCACAAUCUGACCGUAAUAUCUAGGUCAGAUUUAGGAUGUUACACUUUAACGACAUAUUAUUAUGAAAGCAAUUUAAUUACUGCUUGUUCAGUGACUUUGUUAAAAGUUGUUACCCUCUUGGGAUGCAGUUAAUCUCUUUGGGAUAAUAUUUGUUCUCUCAAUAUACGAAAUAGAAACAUUAAUUGCAUAUUUUGAUCACUUUUUAAAUUCUUAAACUUUUCAUUUAGUCUUAAAUAAAAUUAUUUUUUAAGACUUUUAUAUAUUUUUAUUUACCCUAUUAAAAUUCUCAUUUAUCCGCAUUGUUAUUUAACUGAAAAUCUGUAGAAAUGUAUUAAAUAUUAAUCGGAUAUUGGCAAAUUGGCCAUGUGAAAUUUUUUUGAAAAAUAUUUAUAUUAAAAAUAAAUAAAAUUUUAGUUGAAAGGAUAAAUUUGAGACAUUGAAUAGCAUAGUGUUUUAGGUUUAAAUUCUAUGUUGCAUGUAUUUUUUUUUCUAAAUUAUUUAUAUAAUAAAACACUUUCAUAGUAAAAUUUACUUUGUAAAAAAAAGAGUGUCAAUAAUUUUCUAAAUUUAUUUAUAUUAUAUAAUAAACAUUUGAUUAAAUUAGUGUCGUGACUCAAUCGACCACUAAUUAAUUGUAUAAUAAUAGAAUAUUCUUACUUUACAAAGUAACUUAUAUUAUUUUGAUGGUAUUUUUGUCACUCUAAAUCUUUUAUAUACAAAAAAUAUAAAAAUAUUCCUAUAUAAUUAGAUUUGAAUCCAUGUUUAUAAUUCUGAUACUUUAAACUUUAUUAUUCAAUUAAAAUCUCAUUUGUUAUUUUUAUCAAAUUUUAAUAAAUAUAAUUAUUAAAUAAUUCUUUUCUUUUAUCUAUAAUUGUAGGCGUAGAUAGCAACUGCAGAUUUGGUUGACCCAAGGCGAGGAUGGAAGCUUUUAAAGCCCACUGUCCAAUGGGCCCCAAAAUCAUGUGCGCAAUCUUUAUUUAUAUCACAGUGACAAUCAUAUGUGGAAGGCCGGUGCUUGAUAUAUCAAUAUUUGAACAGACAAGGCGACUGGGAUUGGUUAGAGAUAUAAGGGAUUGUCGGCCACGUAUCUACUGAUACCACAGCAGUCUUUUGUUUUCUUUUAGACGAUCGAGCCACGAUUUCAAAUAAAAUAUUCUAUUAUUAUAUUUCCUAUUAAUCGAAUAUGAUUUUAACCACUGACUAUGCAUCUACGAAGCACUUCAGUUUUUCUUUCAACUGCAAUCAUGUCUUGGUGCAAACAUUUCAAACCCCAACACUAAACUAUAUAUUAUACAUGAC